AGUGAACGCUGGCGGUAGGCCUAACACAUGCAAGUCGAACGGCAGCACAGUAAGAGCUUGCUCUUACGGGUGGCGAGUGGCGGACGGGUGAGGAAUACAUCGGAAUCUACUUUUUCGUGGGGGAUAACGUAGGGAAACUUACGCUAAUACCGCAUACGACCUACGGGUGAAAGCAGGGGAUCUUCGGACCUUGCGCGAUUGAAUGAGCCGAUGUCGGAUUAGCUAGUUGGCGGGGUAAAGGCCCACCAAGGCGACGAUCCGUAGCUGGUCUGAGAGGAUGAUCAGCCACACUGGAACUGAGACACGGUCCAGACUCCUACGGGGGGCAGCAGUGGAGAAUAUUGGACAAUGGGCGCAAGCCUAAUCCAGCCAUACCGCGUGGGUGAAGAAGGCCUUCGGGUUGUAAAGCCCUUUUGUUGGGAAAGAAAAGCAGCAGGUUAAUACCCCGCUGUUCUGACGGUACCCAAAGAAUAAGCACCGGCUAACUUCGUG
Molecule: ribosomal RNA, 492 nt
Filed under: uncultured bacterium
Lineage: Bacteria
Description: partial 16S ribosomal RNA
Rfam family: Bacterial small subunit ribosomal RNA
Source: RNAcentral